Molecule: non-coding RNA, 965 nt
Organism: Dermatophagoides farinae (American house dust mite)
Lineage: Eukaryota; Metazoa; Arthropoda; Arachnida; Sarcoptiformes; Pyroglyphidae
Source: RefSeq, a predicted model, not a curated record
AAUCUUGUUUUUUCAUUGAAUAAAUAAAAUGCGUUUAGGUUAUGAUCGAUAUCUAUGUUUGUGUAUGUGUAUAUGAGUCAUAUUUUUCCCUCUCAAUUAUAUAUGAAAACAAAACAAAACAAAACAAAUCAUUCAUAAUGAAAUUAAAAGUUUGUAAUUGUAGGUUUUUUUUUACCUUUAUUGACAAUUUUGAAAAUGAAUAAAUGAAUCCUUUCAAUAUAAAAUCACAUCCGCUAUAGAAUAGUGUGUGUUCCAUAACAACCAACAAAUGUUUUGAAUCAAAAACUAUCGGUUGUCAAACAAAAGUAGAGAAAAAACAAUAUAUAGCUAGUGAUGAUGGUAAGCUACCUUGAUUUGGAAAUAAUAUUUAUUUUUAUCUAAUAUCGCCAUCUUGUUGAAAAAAUGAUGAAAAAAUUGUUUAAAUUUAAAGAUCAUCGAUUCAAGAAUAUCCUAAUAAUAUAAAAUUAAAAGUCCUAGUUGGUUAUACCGUAUGAAGAUGGCGCCCAUUUGUUAUUUGUGGCCGAAAUGCAAAACAAAUCGAACAAAAAUUAAAGUCCAACUAUAUGUUUAUGAAAAAGUGUGUACAAUUAUGAAAAACCAAUUUCAAUAAAUGAAUUGAAAUUUUUUUUUUAUCAUCAUCAGCAAGCUCCAAUGAUGAUAAUUAGAAUGAAUGAAAACAUGUUCAAACAAGGUCACCAACUUUUCUUUUCUUUCAUUUUGCUCAAAUCUUUUUGCUAUUCUUGCCAUAUUCUACCUUUACAUUUCUGGUGAUCAUUUUUUCGUCUGAUUAUUAGCUGCUGGUUGUUGUUGUUGUUGUUGUUGCUAUACACGAUAUAUCAUCCCGUAAGAAAAAAAAUACAAGAAUAUAUUUUGCAUUUCAUAGAAUGAAGAACAGCAGCUGCAUUGAUGAAUCUAACAAAAAAGAACAACAAUAAAAUCUUCAUCAAUCAACACGAAUAAUGUAU